This 2021-nucleotide ribosomal RNA is filed under the name human gut metagenome. RNAcentral's name for it is "bacterial LSU rRNA". It matches the Rfam family "Bacterial large subunit ribosomal RNA", at positions 460 to 2466 of the family's 2925-position model. The record is from RNAcentral.
GAAAGGCUAAAUACUCCUUUGUGACCGAUAGUGAACCAGUACCGUGAGGGAAAGGCGAAAAGAACCCCGGCGAGGGGAGUGAAAAAGAACCUGAAACCGUGUACGUACAAGCAGUGGGAGCCUCUUAAUGGGGUGACUGCGUACCUUUUGUAUAAUGGGUCAGCGACUUAUAUUCUGUAGCAAGGUUAACCGAAUAGGGGAGCCGAAGGGAAACCGAGUCUUAACUGGGCGUUAAGUUGCAGGGUAUAGACCCGAAACCCGGUGAUCUAGCCAUGGGCAGGUUGAAGGUUGGGUAACACUAACUGGAGGACCGAACCGACUAAUGUUGAAAAAUUAGCGGAUGACUUGUGGCUGGGGGUGAAAGGCCAAUCAAACCGGGAGAUAGCUGGUUCUCCCCGAAAGCUAUUUAGGUAGCGCCUCGUGAAUUCAUCUCCGGGGGUAGAGCACUGUUUCGGCAAGGGGGUCAUCCCGACUUACCAACCCGAUGCAAACUGCGAAUACCGGAGAAUGUUAUCACGGGAGACACACGGCGGGUGCUAACGUUCGUCGUGAAGAGGGAAACAACCCAGACCGCCAGCUAAGGUCCCAAAGUCAUGGUUAAGUGGGAAACGAUGUGGGAAGGCCCAGACAGCCAGGAUGUUGGCUUAGAAGCAGCCAUCAUUUAAAGAAAGCGUAAUAGCUCACUGGUCGAGUCGGCCUGCGCGGAAGAUGUAACGGGGCUAAACCAUGCACCGAAGCUGCGGCAGCGACACUAUGUGUUGUUGGGUAGGGGAGCGUUCUGUAAGCCUGUGAAGGUGGCCUGUGAGGGUUGCUGGAGGUAUCAGAAGUGCGAAUGCUGACAUAAGUAACGAUAAAGCGGGUGAAAAGCCCGCUCGCCGGAAGACCAAGGGUUCCUGUCCAACGUUAAUCGGGGCAGGGUGAGUCGACCCCUAAGGCGAGGCCGAAAGGCGUAGUCGAUGGGAAACAGGUUAAUAUUCCUGUACUUGGUGUUACUGCGAAGGGGGGACGGAGAAGGCUAUGUUGGCCGGGCGACGGUUGUCCCGGUUUAAGCGUGUAGGCUGGUUUUCCAGGCAAAUCCGGAAAACCAAGGCUGAGGCGUGAUGACGAGGCACUACGGUGCUGAAGCGACAAAUGCCCUGCUUCCAGGAAAAGCCUCUAAGCAUCAGGUAACAUCAAAUCGUACCCCAAACCGACACAGGUGGUCAGGUAGAGAAUACCAAGGCGCUUGAGAGAACUCGGGUGAAGGAACUAGGCAAAAUGGUGCCGUAACUUCGGGAGAAGGCACGCUGAUAUGUAGGUGAAGCGACUUGCUCGUGGAGCUGAAAUCAGUCGAAGAUACCAGCUGGCUGCAACUGUUUAUUAAAAACACAGCACUGUGCAAACACGAAAGUGGACGUAUACGGUGUGACGCCUGCCCGGUGCCGGAAGGUUAAUUGAUGGGGUUAGCGGUAACGCGAAGCUCUUGAUCGAAGCCCCGGUAAACGGCGGCCGUAACUAUAACGGUCCUAAGGUAGCGAAAUUCCUUGUCGGGUAAGUUCCGACCUGCACGAAUGGCAUAACGAUGGCCACACUGUCUCCUCCUGAGACUCAGUGAAGUUGAAGUGUUUGUGAUGAUGCAAUCUCCCCGCGGCUAGACGGAAAGACCCCAUGAACCUUUACUGUAGCUUUGCAUUGGACUUUGAACCGAUCUGUGUAGGAUAGGCGGGAGCCUGUGAAACCACAACGCCAGUUGUGGUGGAGGCGUCCUUGAAAUACCGCCCUGAUUUGUUUGAGGUUCUAACCUGGGACAGUCAUCCUGUCCGGGGACCGUGCAUGGUAGGCAGUUUGACUGGGGCGGUCUCCUCCUAAAGGGUAACGGAGGAGUGCGAAGGUACGCUAGGUACGGUCGGAAAUCGUGCUGAUAGUGCAAUGGCAAAAGCGUGCUUGACUGCGAGACCCACAAGUCGAGCAGAUACGAAAGUAGGUCAUAGUGAUCCGGUGGUUCUGUAUGGAAGGGCCAUCGCUCAACGGAUAAAAGGUAC